This 434-nucleotide ribosomal RNA is filed under the name uncultured Oscillospiraceae bacterium. RNAcentral's name for it is "partial 16S ribosomal RNA". It matches the Rfam family "Bacterial small subunit ribosomal RNA", at positions 341 to 792 of the family's 1533-position model. The record is from RNAcentral. Lineage: Bacteria; Bacillati; Bacillota; Clostridia; Eubacteriales; Oscillospiraceae.
ACGGGAGGCAGCAGUGGGGAAUAUUGGGCAAUGGAGGCAACUCUGACCCAGCGACGCCGCGUGAGCGAUGAAGGUCUUCGGAUUGUAAAGCUCUGUGUACAGGGACGAUAAUGACGGUACCUGUAUAGAAAGCCACGGCUAACUACGUGCCAGCAGCCGCGGUAAUACGUAGGUGGCAAGCGUUAUCCGGAUUUACUGGGUGUAAAGGGUGUGUAGGCGGGGGAGCAAGUCAGAUGUGAAAUCUGUGGGCUCAACUCACAGACUGCAUUUGAAACUGUUCUUCUUGAGAGUCGGAGGGGUAAUCGGAAUUCCUGGUGUAGCGGUGAAAUGCGUAGAUAUCAGGAGGAACACCGGUGGCGAAGGCGGAUUACUGGACGACAACUGACGCUGAGACACGAAAGCGUGGGGAGCAAACAGGAUUAGAUACCCUGGUA